CCUUCUGCUCCUCACCCUGAUUUCAAAAGAUUUCUGACAUCGUACAUCAAGAAAGAUCAGUAGAAACCUGACUUUCAGCAGCACAAAGAUCUCAUCCCAGCCUAUGCGGAGCCUGUGGUACCAGUAAAGAGCCUCCUCCACUCAGUCUGCUUCAUGACGACCAAAUUCUUCCAACCUUCAUAAUUCGAUAAUUCUAUGAUUUUAUAGCAACAGAAAAAUCAUGAUAUAUUUGCUGGAAAAGCCCCUCCCUCUGUGAAGGACUAGGAAUCAGAAUGGGGAAAAGCUCAGAAGUGGAAAAGGAUGUACAGUGAUUGAACGGACUUUACGAUGCAGACUUUAUAGUUAUUAUGUACACACACAUUGAGACAGCCCCCGUUCGCCCUUUCCUCCCCUGGUUCCUCCUGCGCUCCUCCCCUUUUUGCCCGUGUCCCUACCUUGGUUUGUCCCCCCGCUUGUCUGUCUCAUGCUCCGCCCUGUCUUCUGGCCCUUUGCCCUCCCGAGCUGAUAAAGACUGGGUGCACACGUGAAUAAAGCAUUCUACCUGCAUCCCA
This is a long non-coding RNA of Pseudopipra pipra, 551 nucleotides long. RefSeq lists it as uncharacterized. The record is from RefSeq and is a predicted model, not a curated record. The transcript has 2 exons. Lineage: Eukaryota; Metazoa; Chordata; Aves; Passeriformes; Pipridae.